AUGAAAAGAAGGACUGACCUGAAAUGCUUGAAUAUUUGUGUCUAUCUGAGUAAGAAGCCGAUUAUUUUCUUCCAGUACAAGCUGUACUAUACGAUCCAUCUCCGAGGCUACAUGGCGGAAAAGAUGGUCAGUUUAUGGAACAAGGAUCGAAACAAAUGGAAAGCACUAGCUGAAUCUCGUCGACCAUCAGGAUCUCUGAACCUGCAUAUUAUAUUUGAAGUUCAGGAGGAAAUGGCUUGUGAUCUUACAGUAAGUUUCAACCCCGUUAAAUACCACACGGUUGGCGGUCUAUAUAACCCCAAGUUUGGCGAAACAGGUUCGACAUAUCCACAGAUACUCAAUGUUCACACUUCACAGAUCGAUUUUCUAAUAUGA
RNAcentral lists this ribosomal RNA (375 nucleotides) under Triticum aestivum (bread wheat). Its description in RNAcentral is "partial small subunit ribosomal RNA". Lineage: Eukaryota; Viridiplantae; Streptophyta; Magnoliopsida; Poales; Poaceae. The record is from RNAcentral.